RNAcentral lists this ribosomal RNA (635 nucleotides) under uncultured Basidiomycota. RNAcentral describes it as "LSU rRNA". It matches the Rfam family "Eukaryotic large subunit ribosomal RNA", at positions 1 to 611 of the family's 3401-position model. Lineage: Eukaryota; Fungi; Basidiomycota. The record is from RNAcentral.
CCUCAAAUCAGGUAGGACUACCCGCUGAACUUAAGCAUAUCAAUAAGCGGAGGAAAAGAAACUAACAAGGAUUCCCCUAGUAGCGGCGAGUGAAGCGGGAAGAGCUCAAAUUUAAAAUCUGGCGGUCUCAGGCCGUCCGAGUUGUAAUCUAGAGAGGUGUUUUCUGUGCCGGACCGCGUACAAGUCCCUUGGAACAGGGCGUCAUAGAGGGUGAUAAUCCCGUCCAUGACACGGACUACCGGUGCUCUGUGAUACACCUUCAAAGAGUCGAGUUGUAUGGAAAUGCAGCUCAAAAUGGGUGGUAAAUUCCAUCUAAAGCUAAAUACAGGCGAGAGACCGAUAGCGAACAAGUACCGUGAGGGAAAGAUGAAAAGAACUUUGGAAAGAGAGUUAAACAGUACGUGAAAUUGUUGAAAGGGAAACGCUUGAAGUCAGUCGCGUCCGCCGGGAUUCAGCCUUGCUUUUGCUUGGUGCACUUCUCGGUAGAUGGGCCAGCAUCAAUUUUGGUCGUCGGAAAAGGGCGGGAGGAAUGUGGCAGCUUGCUGUGUUAUAGCCUCUCGUCGUCGUACACGAUGGCCGGGAUUGAGGAAUGCAGCACGCCUUUGGUCGGGGUUCGCCCACGCCACGUGCUUAGG